RNAcentral lists this transfer RNA (74 nucleotides) under Acidimicrobiales bacterium. RNAcentral describes it as "tRNA-Arg". It matches the Rfam family "tRNA". From Rfam's summary of the family: Transfer RNA (tRNA) molecules are approximately 80 nucleotides in length. Their secondary structure includes four short double-helical elements and three loops (D, anti-codon, and T loops). RNAcentral also lists the same sequence under 1 other name. The record is from RNAcentral. Lineage: Bacteria; Bacillati; Actinomycetota; Acidimicrobiia; Acidimicrobiales.
GCGCUCGUAGCUCAAUUGGAUAGAGCAUCUGUCUACGGAACAGAAGGUUCGGGGUUCGAGUCCCUGCGAGCGCG